RNAcentral lists this ribosomal RNA (518 nucleotides) under Pseudomonas sp. gx-127. RNAcentral's name for it is "bacterial SSU rRNA". It matches the Rfam family "Bacterial small subunit ribosomal RNA", at positions 56 to 574 of the family's 1533-position model. The record is from RNAcentral. Lineage: Bacteria; Pseudomonadati; Pseudomonadota; Gammaproteobacteria; Pseudomonadales; Pseudomonadaceae.
UGCAAGUCGAGCGGGAGGAUCCUUCGGGAUGCCGGCGAGCGGGGACGGGUGAGUAAUGCCUAGGAAUCUGCCUGGUAGUGGGGGAUAACGUUCGGAAACGGACGCUAAUACCGCAUACGUCCUACGGGAGAAAGUGGGGGAUCUUCGGACCUCACGCUAUCAGAUGAGCCUAGGUCGGAUUAGCUAGUUGGUGGGGUAACGGCUCACCAAGGCGACGAUCCGUAACUGGUCUGAGAGGAUGAUCAGUCACACUGGAACUGAGACACGGUCCAGACUCCUACGGGAGGCAGCAGUGGGGAAUAUUGGACAAUGGGCGAAACGUGAUCCAGCCAUGCCGCGUGUGUGAAGAAGGUCUUCGGAUUGUAAAGCACUUUAAGUUGGGAGGAAGGGCAGUCAGUUAAUACCUGGUUGUUUUGACGUUACCAACAGAAUAAGCACCGGCUAACUUCGUGCCAGCAGCCGCGGUAAUACGAAGGGUGCAAGCGUUAAUCGGAAUUACUGGGCGUAAACGCGCGGAG